UCCCUCUGUUGAGAAUGGCUGAAGCCAAGAA
Molecule: non-coding RNA, 31 nt
Filed under: Homo sapiens (human)
Lineage: Eukaryota; Metazoa; Chordata; Mammalia; Primates; Hominidae
Source: RNAcentral